Molecule: transfer RNA, 70 nt
Filed under: Dipodomys ordii (Ord's kangaroo rat)
Lineage: Eukaryota; Metazoa; Chordata; Mammalia; Rodentia; Heteromyidae
Rfam family: tRNA
About the family: Transfer RNA (tRNA) molecules are approximately 80 nucleotides in length. Their secondary structure includes four short double-helical elements and three loops (D, anti-codon, and T loops).
Source: Rfam by way of RNAcentral
GGGAAGGUGGCUCAUUGGUAGAGUACUUGCCUUGCAUGCCUGAGGCCCUGGGUUCGAUUCCUCAGCCCCA